Molecule: transfer RNA, 75 nt
Filed under: Spirulina sp. SIO3F2
Lineage: Bacteria; Bacillati; Cyanobacteriota; Cyanophyceae; Spirulinales; Spirulinaceae
Description: tRNA-Lys
Rfam family: tRNA
About the family: Transfer RNA (tRNA) molecules are approximately 80 nucleotides in length. Their secondary structure includes four short double-helical elements and three loops (D, anti-codon, and T loops).
Source: RNAcentral
GGGCGUUUGGCAGAACGGUUAUGCAUCUGACUCUUAAUCAGGCUCACACGGGUUCAACUCCUGUAGCGCCCACCA